GAUGAACGCUGGCGGCGUGCCUAAUACAUGCGAGUCGAGCGAACGGACGAGAAGCUUGCUUUUCUGAUGUUAGCGGCGGACGGGUGAGUAACACGUGGAUAACCUACCUAUAAGACUGGGAUAACUUCGGGAAACCGGAGCUAAUACCGGAUAAUAUUUUGAACCGCAUGGUUCAUAGGUGAAAGACGGUCUUGCUGUCACUUAUAGCUGGAUCCGCGCUGCAUUAGCUAGUUGGUAAGGUAACGGCUUACCAAGGCAACGAUGCAUAGCCGACCUGAGAGGGUGAUCGGCCACACUGGAACUUAGACACGGACCAGACUCCUACGGUACGCAGCAGUAGGGAAUCUUCCGCAAUGGGCGGAAGCCUUACGGAGCAACGCCGCGUGAGUGAUGAAGGUCUUCGGUUCGUAAAACUCUGUUAUUAGGGAAAAACAUAUUUGUAAUGAACUGUGCACAUCUUGACGGUACCUAAUCAGAAAGCCACGGCUAACUACGUG
RNAcentral lists this ribosomal RNA (497 nucleotides) under uncultured bacterium. Its description in RNAcentral is "partial 16S ribosomal RNA". It matches the Rfam family "Bacterial small subunit ribosomal RNA", at positions 28 to 507 of the family's 1533-position model. The record is from RNAcentral.